Molecule: ribosomal RNA, 432 nt
Filed under: uncultured bacterium
Lineage: Bacteria
Description: partial 16S ribosomal RNA
Rfam family: Bacterial small subunit ribosomal RNA
Source: RNAcentral
AACGAACGCUGGCGGCAGGCCUAACACAUGCAAGUCGAGCGAGAUCUUCGGGUCUAGCGGCGGACGGGUGAGUAACGCGUGGGAAUAUGCCCUUCUCUGCGGAAUAGCCUCGGGAAACUGAGCGUAAUACCGCAUACGCCCUUUGGGGGAAAGAUUUAUCGGAGAAGGAUUAGCCCGCGUUGGAUUAGGUAGUUGGUGGGGUAACGGCCUACCAAGCCGACGAUCCAUAGCUGGUUUGAGAGGAUGAUCAGCCACACUGGGACUGAGACACGGCCCAGACUCCUACGGGAGGCAGCAGUGGGGAAUCUUAGACAAUGGGGGCAACCCUGAUCUAGCCAGGCCGCGUGAGUGAUGAAGGCCUUAGGGUUGUAAAGCUCUUUCAGCUGGGAAGAUAAUGACGGUACCAGCAGAAGAAGCCCCGGCUAACUCCGU